This 492-nucleotide ribosomal RNA is filed under the name uncultured bacterium. RNAcentral's name for it is "partial 16S ribosomal RNA". It matches the Rfam family "Bacterial small subunit ribosomal RNA", at positions 29 to 507 of the family's 1533-position model. The record is from RNAcentral.
AGUGAACGCUGGCGGUAGGCUUAACACAUGCAAGUCGAACGGCAGCACAGUAAGAGCUUGCUCUUACGGGUGGCGAGUGGCGGACGGGUGAGGAAUACAUCGGAAUCUACUUUUUCGUGGGGGAUAACGUAGGGAAACUUACGCUAAUACCGCAUACGACCCACGGGUGAAAGCAGGGGAUCUUCGGAUCUUGCGCGAUUGAAUGAGCCGAUGUCGGAUUAGCUAGUUGGUGGGGUAAAGGCCCACCAAGGCGACGAUCCGUAGCUGGUGUGAGAGGAUGAUCAGCCACACUGGAACUGAGACACGGUCCAGACUCCUACGGGAGGCAGCAGUAGGGAAUAUUGGGCAAUGGGCGCAAGCCUGAUCCAGCCAUCCCGCGUGGGUGAAGAAGGCCUUCGGGUUGUAAAGCCCUUUUGUUGGGAAAGAAAAGCAGCAGGUUAAUACCCCGCUGUUCUGACGGUACCCAAAGAAUAAGCACCGGCUAACUUCGUG